Molecule: long non-coding RNA, 436 nt
Organism: Zea mays
Lineage: Eukaryota; Viridiplantae; Streptophyta; Magnoliopsida; Poales; Poaceae
Exons: 2
Source: RefSeq, a predicted model, not a curated record
GGAAGAAUUUGGCGUAUACAACCUGGGCAGUCCAAGCACAAAUAGCCCUUCAUUGCCUUCAUUGGGUUCAUCUAAUAUAGUAGCAAUGACAUCUUGUGGACGUGAAAAUGGGAGUAUGCAUGGUUUGCAUUCUGGACUUCUCACAUCAAUGAGCCCGUUCAGAUAGGCUUCAUUUCUGGGUCUAUCAUCUACCCUACCACAGAGCCUGUCCUCUCCCAUUGGAAUUGCUUCUGCUGCAACUCAUAGUAACCAGGCUCCCCUUGGUGAGAUCAGCCACUCUCUUAGUCGGAUGAAUAGGCAUGUGAAUUAUGGUUUUCAAGGCUUGGGUGCUAUUCAUCCCCAUUCUCUUCCUGAUGUUCACAAUGGAGCAAAUAAUGGCACCCCUUACAAUCUGAACACCAUCACACCUGUUGGUGUCAAUAAGAACUCAAGAACA